RNAcentral lists this long non-coding RNA (894 nucleotides) under Trifolium pratense (red clover). RNAcentral describes it as "long non-coding RNA (TPRA_LNC003837)". The record is from RNAcentral. Lineage: Eukaryota; Viridiplantae; Streptophyta; Magnoliopsida; Fabales; Fabaceae.
CAAAACAAUUAUGCAAAUACCUACUCCAAUACUCAAUUAUUUUUUUGGAAAAGGAAAAUUGGCAUUAAAAGCAAAAAGUCUUGUGUACAAGAUGUUCAGCAAGCUCUAAAUGAUACAUGAUACCAGUUCAAAAAAAAAAUGCACCAAUACAAUGGAACACACUAAGCAAUAGCUAAGGAUACAACAUUAAUAUUACUAAGCAGUUAAGAUACCAGCGACAAUUAUACACCACUUAGCCAUUGCUGAGAAAGAAAAGCAGCAGCAGGCUCCAUCACAUAAGAAUUGCCUCCCUUUCAAAAACUGGACACAAGGUUUACACUAAUAUGAGAACUUACUACUCAAAAUACAAAUACAAACAAAUGAAUAAAACUCAUGAUAGAAGUUACCAACAGAGAUAGUAGUGGUAUAGUUCAAUUUAAAAGCAGUAAAUUAUGCACCUCCUUUAGUUCCAAUUUGAAGCCUAAUAACUAGAGGAAGGUAUAGUUGCGCUUGAUGCUUCGUCAGUUCAAAUUCCCAUUCCACCAUGUUUUUCCCUGAAGUCAAUCAUCUCAAUAAUAGCUUCCUCGGUUCCCAGGCGGUUAGGUCCAGAAAAAAUCUAUAAGAAAAUAUACCAUUACACAUACAAGAAAAUAUAUUGAUUCAAAUAAAUCCAUAUUUCACAAUGUAAAUUGUUUCUACUUACUUCUUUUACGACGGAAAUAUUCCUGGGAAGAUUCUGGUUAUAACUUCCAAAUAGAUAUUCAUCCGACCUGAUCAAUGCACACAGUUUACAACUUUUUCUUAGCCCAAUACACGUACCAAAAUAUAAAUGUGAUAAUAAUUUGAAAUCAAUUUAACAAGCAGUCCAUGUGAAUUAAGUAUACUUUAUCACCUUUGCAUCAAUUUAACAAGCNN